RNAcentral lists this long non-coding RNA (979 nucleotides) under Homo sapiens (human). RNAcentral describes it as "HSALNT0325448". The record is from RNAcentral. Lineage: Eukaryota; Metazoa; Chordata; Mammalia; Primates; Hominidae.
CUUAGGCUUUUGAAGUCUUUAAAGAAACCAUCACUAUGAUCUUUACUACUGCUGCGGAAAAGAGGACAACACUCCACAUUUCUGGCAUUGUAAAUGACAACACCGCAACUGAAAGCAAGCUUGAAUUUCUGGGAGUAGCAUUAGGAUACAGGACCCCUGCUGAGCUCACCAGUUCCUUGCUCUACACAGCUGCUUUCUCAGCUGGGGUUUUGAAAUAAGCACUGUGAGAAAAGACAGAAAUGACCAUGAUGCAUCUUUCUCACUAUGAGAAAAAGGUACCAUGUGAAGGCCUGGGCAUAUAACAUGAAACAAGAAAGAUAAGGCCCGUGCUUACAUAGAACUUGGUGAAGAAUCUAGACCAUAACAAGCACACAGAGAAAACGUAUCACAAAUUGUGCUAAAGUUCUGUAAAGGGAUUAAGAUGAAGUGUCACAAGACUGAAUUAGACAGAGUGCCCUUGAAAGAGUGCCAAUUUUUAGAAUGGAGGGUGUAGAUCCAUCCUUUGCAACUGGUGAGGACCUCCUCAGUAAGGCACUGAGCCAGGAGUCUAUACAGCCAUGCCAGCAGGGAGCACUGUCUUUCAUUGUCUGAUGUUUAUUGCAAACCUGUUCUUUUCAGCUUUUUGUUGUUUCAGCCUAGUCCAAAGACGUUUACAUCCUGGAAGAGAACUUGCUGGCUUUUCACCUCAGCAUGUAUGGGCCAAACUAAUAUAACAAGAAGUCUUGAGAGGAGUCAGCGGCCAAGCUCCAUGUCUUGCAGCCAAACAAUGCUGUGGGAUGGAAGGUGGGAUGUCAUGUGUCUGGUUUACAGCACUCACGUAUCAGUUGGCAGUUAACGGAAGUGCUACUGAUUGGUGAUAUGCCUACUCCCCCUUCACCUUCGAUCAUGAUUGUAAACUUCGUGAGGACAUCACCAAAGGCUGACAUUGGCAACAUGCUUCCUGUACAAUCUGCAGAACAACGAUGGAACAAAAUAAACA